UAGGGUAAAUAAAUCAAAAACCCCCUUUUUUCCUAUCUCCCCCUGCAAUCGAAACCCCCCUGGAUUUUUUUAAAUUUUGCAACGCAGCAUCCGAAACUGGUCUAUGGAAAAGUGGGAGGGUUUUAAGUUUGGCUUCAUAGUAGGUGGCGCCUUGACCACUGCUGUAUAUUUUCAAGACAUCUAGGGGAGAAAUAACUAACUCCAUAGAAUUUUUAUGGCCAUGUCAGCUGUCCCGUCAGCUGUUCCAUUUUGCGUGGGAUCGGAUUGAUGGUGGAUUAAACGUACGUCUCUGUUCUUGAAAUUUCACCACCAAUUCCGUGCGUUUUGAGCUGCAUCUUAUGAAUUCAAUCAAUGCAAAGUUAUUCAAGGAGGACCAUGGUUUGGCUUUGCUAGCACGUUUUUCAUCUCUGUUAGUCUUAUACACCCAUUUUGUACCAAAGGUGAUAUGUAAAAAAAGUAGUUCUUAAUAAUUUAUUUCCCUAUCUAAAUCUCUUAGCUUCUUAGAGGUGUCAUCAGGUGACCCCUGCAUCAACUUUAAAUCUCCCUUUAAAUUGAUUUGCCUCAAUUUUAGGUCUAUUUCUACGUUAAAAUUAUUGUUAAUAGUUUAAGGUUUUGUAAUUGUGCUUUCAGGUCUUCGGGAUGUACUGAUGUACUCUGGUGGCCACAAUCUCCUUUAGUCUUAUACACCCAUCUUGUACCAAAGGUGAUACGUAAAAAAAGUAGUUCUUUACAAUCUAUUUCCCUAUCUAAAUCUCUUAGAUUCUUGGAGAUCUCAUCAGGUGAUGUUAGAAUUUAUUGAUUAAUAGUUUCAGGUUUUGUUAUUGUGCUUUUAGUUCUUCGGGAUGUACUAAUGUACUGUGGUGGCCACAAAAUCAUUCAGUGACUUGGUUCAAUCCAGGAUUUGGUUUUUUCGAAAGUGGUAUACAGUUGUAUUUUGCAGAGAUCCUGGAGGUACCUGAUUUGUUGCAUUAGCGUUGGAGUCGCUCGGUGAGAGAAUGGAAUGCAACCAAUGUUAUGUUGUCAGUGUAAAUAAAACAUAUCCAGUUUCA
Daphnia magna is the source of this 1049-nucleotide long non-coding RNA. RefSeq lists it as uncharacterized. Lineage: Eukaryota; Metazoa; Arthropoda; Branchiopoda; Diplostraca; Daphniidae. The transcript is spliced from 2 exons. The record is from RefSeq and is a predicted model, not a curated record.